Long non-coding RNA from Arachis stenosperma, 634 nucleotides. RefSeq lists it as uncharacterized. The transcript is spliced from 2 exons. Lineage: Eukaryota; Viridiplantae; Streptophyta; Magnoliopsida; Fabales; Fabaceae. The record is from RefSeq and is a predicted model, not a curated record.
AUCCCCCCACCCACAAAUCCCCAAUUGCCCCAAAUGUAAACCUUGCUCUCGCACUCUCAGUCUCGCACUCUCGCACUCUCAGUCUCGAGCUCAAAGCCCUUCCUCCCACCACCUGGUAGCGCCGCCGAAGCCUUCUUCACAGCGCCGCCGAAGCCUUCUUCACAGCGCCGCCGAACCUUUCCUCCUCGCGGACACCACGACCAAGCCCCAGCCAGCACCACCCUCGUGGAGUCAGGGUCGUCGACACACACCGGCGCCACCCCAGCACCGUUUCUGGCCACACGCAGCACCGAGCCACCCAGCACAGCACCAACGUUUCUGUGGUUUAUGUAGGGGUUCUUUGUUUUAGACUUGUGAAGGCUAAAAGAAUUCAGGACAUGGAAAGACAGGCCAAUGAAGAUCUGGUUCUUGAAAGUAGAUGGGUUGGCAACAGUAAAAUGCUUUCUGCAGUUGUCACAAGAACUCAGCCAGUUCUUGAGAGUGGUGUUCAGUAGUUUUUGUUUUUGUUAGUAUUGGUUCAAUUACUUUACUGCUUUUCUCUUUGAUAAACAGGGAUCUUCUAUUAUUAUAAGCAAUGAAGAAAGCAUUUGUAUCUUCAUCAUAACAUGAAAUUCCGGUUUUCUUUUUAUACUAA